This 834-nucleotide ribosomal RNA is filed under the name Candelariella canadensis. RNAcentral's name for it is "partial large subunit ribosomal RNA". It matches the Rfam family "Eukaryotic large subunit ribosomal RNA", at positions 77 to 929 of the family's 3401-position model. Lineage: Eukaryota; Fungi; Ascomycota; Candelariomycetes; Candelariales; Candelariaceae. The record is from RNAcentral.
GCCUCAGUAACGGCGAGUGAAGCGGCAACAGCUCAAAUUUGAAAUCUGGCCCUCUCGGGGUCCGAGUUGUAAUUUGUAGAGGAUGCUUCGGGUGUGGUGCCAGUCUAAGUUCCUUGGAACAGGACGUCGUAGAGGGUGAGAAUCCCGUAUGUGACUGGAUGCCUAACUCAUGUGAAGCUCCUUCGACGAGUCGAGUUGUUUGGGAAUGCAGCUCUAAAUGGGUGGUAAAUUUCAUCUAAAGCUAAAUACCGGCCAGAGACCGAUAGCGCACAAGUAGAGUGAUCGAAAGAUGAAAAGCACUUUGGAAAGAGAGUUAAAAAGCACGUGAAAUUGUUGAAAGGGAAGCGCUUGCAAUCAGACUUGCCUGCAGUUGAUCAACCGGUGUUCUCACCGGUGUACGCUUCUGCAGUCAGGCCAGCAUCAGUUUGGGCGGCUGGACAAAGGCCCUGGGAAUGUAGCUCCCUCUGGGGAGUGUUAUAGCUCAGGGUGCAAUGCAGCCCGCCUGGACUGAGGACCGCGCUUCUGCUAGGAUGCUGGCGUAAUGGUUGUAAGCGACCCGUCUUGAAACACGGACCAAGGAGUCUAACAUCUAUGCAAGUGUUUGGGCGUCAAACCCAUGCGCGUAAUGAAAGUGAACGGAGGUGGGAACCCUCAAGGGUGCACCAUCGACCGAUCCUGAUGUCUUCGGAUGGAUUUGAGUAAGAGCAUAACUGUUGGGACCCGAAAGAAGGUGAACUAUGCCUGAAUAGGGUGAAGCCAGAGGAAACUCUGGUGGAGGCUCGCAGCGGUUCUGACGUGCAAAUCGAUCGUCAAAUUUGGGUAUAGGGGCGAAAG